ACUCCAUCGCCGCCUCGCAGGCCGCGCCCAGGCCGGAGGGGGCCGCGGCCACCCCAGAGGGACGCGGAGACGGGCGGGCGAGGCGGGCACGAGGGCGCGGGCACGGCGGCGACGGGAGGAGCGCGGGCACGGCUGAAGGGGAAAAAAAAAAAGAGGUGGCGAGGAAUGGGGGAAUUGCGCAUGCGCGGCCCUUCUCCCGGGAAGGGGCGGGGCGCGGAGCUCGGGCGCGCGCCGAGCGACGUCACUGGGCGCACCAGACUUGAAGGGGGAGCGGCGGCGGCGGCGUCGCUUCGCGAGCGUCUCUCGCCUCGGGGCGCAUGCGCCCAGAACACUUUUUUUUUUUUGGCUUCCCCCCCCUCCUCCCCGUAUUUGCCCUUCUUCCUCGCAACCGUCUCCAAGGGAAUAAGGCGAAACCCGCCAGAGAGGGCGUGGACGGAGGCGGAGCCUUCUGGAAGCCCGGCCAAUGAGAGCCCCGAGGGGUAUUUUUGAUUGACGUGCAGGCCUGUACCACAACUCCCAUCCUUGUGGCGAUGGAUGGAUUGCGUGAUAAACUCUCGUAGCCAUUAUGUGUGGUGGAGGGUGAGAUCCAGCAGACAGAUGCAUCUCCCACGUUGCCAAGUUUAGAUCAGCCCCAGUUGGAGGAAAGAAAAAAAGAAAGGGACGAUUGAGAUCAUGAUGAUUUUGGGAAGUUGACGAGAUCCUGAAAAACCGAAGGAAAAGCAAAAUCGAAAAAGGGAAGAGGAGGAAAAGCAAAGGACAGCACAGAUGAACGAGUCUCAAGCCUAAGAUUAAGUUUAUUUGUCGGAAUCGAAGCGGAACCUUUUACGCCCCGGGCGCGGUUUCCCGGCGGGACGCCUUAAAAGCGACGGACCGACGGCCGCUGGGGGGCGCCUUUCGCCGUGGCACCGCAGCCGUUACGGGGCGGGAGGACCCCGCGCGGGCUGCGGAGCCUCGGCAAUCAUGUUCGCCGGCUUGCAAGAGCUCGGCGUGGCCAACGGGGAGGAUUUGAAGGAGACGCUGACCAAUUGCAUGGAGCCCCUGAAGGCCAUCGAGCAG
Molecule: long non-coding RNA, 1056 nt
Organism: Ahaetulla prasina
Lineage: Eukaryota; Metazoa; Chordata; Lepidosauria; Squamata; Colubridae
Exons: 5
Source: RefSeq, a predicted model, not a curated record